GACCUCUGCCUUAUUCGCCCAAGACUGCAAGGGCCGGCCCACCGUCUCUUAGCCGGGGUCCAGGAUAACUGCUGUCCUUUCAAGGCCUGGCGGAACCGUACACCGCGUGGGCAAUACACGCACGGUUACACGCGAGGUUCAUAGCUCAGACCUGUAGCCUCUGUUAAGCUCUCAAAAUAGAUGGCAACGCCGUGAAAAAGUUAAACUCCGUGUUAAAGGCAGCGGGACACGCACGACGUUGAUUGUUUGGAGGAGAUCUCUGCUCCUGCAUCCCGACCCUCGCGUGGGACACGACCUGUGAGCAAAAAGCCAGGCCCCCGCAAAAAAUGAGAAGAGCAAAUACUCUCCUAGAAGCUCACCUAGAAGCUGGUUUACAUUUCAUCUUUCCUCCAGGAGCUCAAUAAGAGUAAAUGCAGAUGAAGAGAUGGAUGGAUAGAAGGAUAGAAGAACGGAUGGACAAAGAGACAGAACACCAUACUGGCCAAAUUAUGUAGAAACCUCAAAUGAAGAAACAUACCAUCUAUAUUAGCUGAGAAAGCAUGGCCAAUGUUCAGAAUUUCUUCUCAACAGCCAUAUUUCCCUACCUUAUCUUAGCAACUAUUUAUUUCUGCUCUUCAAUUGUGUGUGUGUGUGUGUGUGUGUGUGUGUGUGUGUGUGUGUGUGUGUGUUUAGGAGGACUAUCACUUUCAUCCUAUGGAUAGAGAAAACUAAAGAACUAGCGUGGUUUUGUAGACUGGGUUUGCUCUGUCUACUAAAUUAAAGGUAGAAGUUUCUUUAAAGCUAAUGCUAUUUAUUUCUAGGAAUGCAGCCUAUUUUAUAUAUUUGCUAUUUGAUCUCUAGUAACAAGUUUCUUGGAUGGCCUCUGUUAUAUGUUAAUACAGAUCUCAGUUCGGGGAAUGUAUUGAAAACAGUUUUGUUCAUGAGAACCAGGAAGUGUUAGCUUGAUGGUUUAUUUACUGUAAGGUUAAAGACUCUUUCAGGAUAAUGAAUAAACUCUUCAGAGAGAACAUUUCCCCAAUAGCUUAGUUAGUAUUAAGCAUCUUCAACAACCAUAGAAUCUUCAUUGACAGUUGUAUAGUAGUAAAGAAAUGGGAGAGCUGAAAUUCUAAAAAGGAAGGGCUCUAUGAUACAUUUUUUUCUGUUCCCACUUCUUUUUUAACAGUGGAUAUUCCUUUCUCUUUGCAGCAAAAUGUAGUAAGCAAUAUAAUCUGAAGAAAUUAUAUUUGCCUUCAAAUAUGUGGUUCUCCUCAAGGCCCAAGAAUUUUCUUUUAUCCUUUGUACAUUGAGAACAUCUUGACAGCAAAAUCCAAUCCCUCUCACCUCAGUUAACCCAUCUCUGUUUGCUUUAGAUGGGGAAAUUCCAAUUUUCCUCAACCUGGCACCAGGCCAGAAGAGUAGGACUACGGUUCCCAUUACUCCCAGCCACUGUUAUCAUUUAGGAAAGGGGUAGUCCAGGACAUAAGGGGAACCACUAGGGAAGGAAAGGCUGCCUUAUUCAUGUUUAUUCAGAAAUGAAGCCCCUCUGUAUAAAUCAGGAUUAACCUCCAGGUGAAGCACUCAUAGAAUAAAAGUUUUGAUUGCUUAUAGUUACAGAGUUUUAGCCUAGAAGGCUGACUUUAAAUUAAAUUCGGCAGUAACCUGCAUUUAACAAAAUUAAAAGAAAGCUCAUUGCCCGGUUUCUUGUUUUAAUUAAACACACAUUCAGUGAGGGAUGUUUAACUGCAAGUUAUGGGACUGUUUUGGCAGGAUCACUGCUCUCAGUAAAGAACUGUACUAUUAUUUUGUUUACUUUCCCCCCCCCAUUUCUAAAUUUUUAUGUUUUCCUUACCUCUCUGUGUGGCUGCUUCAGUUUUGGCAAUCGGAUUUAUGGCAAAAAGGAACUGGAAGAGUUAGCUUUUUUGCUUUCAAAGAAGUUCUCUAACAUAGGUCAUACUCUUUUCCUUCUUCCUUUUCAUAUAACAAUCAGAAAAGAUACAUAAAUGGAAACAAGAUCAUUAAUGAUGGUCAAGUUGAAGCUUGCUAAUACCUGCCAUAUUUUUUUUAAUCUUUAGAUUUUUACCUUGCCUUCUUUCCAGGAACUCAAGGCCAUCUAUUGGGUGAUCGCAGGGAAACUCAAAAGAAUCAAGAUCGUGGCUACAACCACACAAUCAAAGCCUCAUUUUGAUGCACAUAAUUUAGCAGCAGACUAUUUGCAUAAUUGUGGACAUCAUCUUGACUUUUUUGACCUUCCUGCAAGCAUUCCUCACUAUGUACCAAUAAAAAACAGUGUAAGAUAGGUUAGAUGGGGAAAUAGUCACUGGCCCAAAAAGUCACUUGUCCAUUAAAAUUCCAUGGCUAUAGCUGGAAUUUGUAGAUACAGUAAGUCUUUCCAAUCUUAUUUCAUCCUUUUUCACUGAAACUUCCUAAAUGCUCUUCAGCAUUGUUUGACAUUGCUUAAAAACCUCUGCCUGCUCUCCCUAUACCAUAAUUAAGAAAGUUGCCAACCUGGUAUUCUUCAGAUGUGUCAUACAAUUUCCAUAACCUAUAAACCAGCAUGAUUGCAAAUCAGAUAGGUUGGGCAAUGUGGAAAUUGAAGCACUACAUCUGGAGGAUCCUUAAAGGAAGACUGAUAGUAAGAUCUUUUAUUAAUAUUAUAAAUUACAUUCUCUUUGAAUAACUUGCUAGUUUAUCCACUCACAGCAAAGAGAUGCAAAGCCCAAAAAUGGGCAGAGAUGGAAUCUAGGUGGGUGAGUCUAGCUCUGCAUAUGUCAACUAGUCACCAUCUCCCAAGAUGGAAAAUAUUUAGUGGUAGAUUAUAUACUCUGCAUGUAAAAGAGCCCAGUUUCACUCUUUGAAAUAUGUAAGCCUGCAAAAAGUUGAAAGAUAAAGUGAGAUAAAGUCAGAUGAUGCAAUGAACUCAAUAAAAGGAAGUUAUCUGUCUGUCUUUCCACUACUACUACCUCUGUUUUAUGGAUUUUUAAAGGAUGUGAAUGAAAUGGGAGCCAGAAGCCUCUAAAACGAAAAUCUCCUCUAUUUAUACAAUUAAAAUUUCUUAAAAUACUGAAAAAAUCCUGAAAUCAUGUCACUAAAAUUUCUUAGGGGAAUGAGCUUCGUUUUAGCGCUGCAAUUUGGGACCAGGAGUGAGAGAGGCAUUUAAGGAAGGAAAUGGGAGUGACUUGUUUCCAAGGUGGCACAGUGGUUAGAAUGUAGUAUUGCAGGCAAAUUCUGCCCACUUCGAGGAGUUUGAUCCUGACUGGCUCAAGAUUGAGUCAGCCUCUGAUCCUUCCGAGGUCGAUAAAAUGAGGACCCAGAUUGUUGGAGGGAAUAUGCUGACUCUGUAAACCACUUGGAGAGUGCUAUAAAAAGGCUAUGAAGCAGUGUAUAAGUUUAAGUGCUCUUGCUAUUGUCUUCUAGAAUCUCUAUUCUCACCUUAUUUGAAGGAAAAGAUGGUGAAACUGCAGUCUGAAAAACAGCCAUUUUGAACCAAUUUUUGAGCUAGUGGGAAGCCAUAUAUAGCCUGUAUAGUCUUUUCUAAGUCCUAAGGCUUAAAGGAUAUUUGUUAUCAGUACAAUCAGUAAGUGAUAUUUCAUUCCAUCUUUUCUAUCCUGGUCAUGGAUUUCCUCCUUCCAUUUAUACUCUUGUUUUCUUCAGAUCAUAUUAAUCUUUACAUUAUGUUCAGCUACAAUUUUGCAAUUUUACAAGGAAAAAAUACUCUUUUUUUUAAAAAAAAUCUGUGCAUAAGGCAUCUUUGGUUGGCAUUUAUUUCUGAAUAUGUGGAUGAUGAGUUGUAGAUAAAAAUAGUCAUUUAGUGUAAUUGCCUUGAACUGAGAUUUGCCCAUCAUUUUUUAGUAAUUAGAAAAGACUUCUGGCCCUUUAAUUGAGAGUUUGCAUAGGGUCUAUACUGAGUCACCAAGUCUCUGUAGCAACCUUGCUGUAGCCUCUCUAUUGGCAUUUGCUGACAUGCCACCCACCUUGAACUCCAAAUGCGGAUCCAAAGAUUGCUGAGCUAUGAACACAGUAUUUGUGUAACUCUGCCAGUAUUGUAACCACCCAUAUAACCUCAGGAGAGUCAAAGCAAAACCAUGCUGAAAAGUACAAAAAUAGAUUGAACAUCACCACUGAAGAAGAUGUUCAGGCUAGGUUUCUGAAUCCAGAUCUUUAGGCAUAUGUUUCCUAAACGUCAAGAACUUCUUCCUCCCUUGGCUUCAGGUUCGAAGGUUUUAGCCAUACUUUUGGCACAUGGUAAUAAAAAUAUGAAUACUUUGACAAUUUUACCCAGGAAAUCAAACCCUGCCCAUCAUGCUUCUCUAAAUUAGAAGGUGAAGAUGCAGAAUUAUGGCAACAUGACUUUAUUACA
Molecule: long non-coding RNA, 4336 nt
Organism: Ahaetulla prasina
Lineage: Eukaryota; Metazoa; Chordata; Lepidosauria; Squamata; Colubridae
Exons: 3
Source: RefSeq, a predicted model, not a curated record